RNAcentral lists this ribosomal RNA (506 nucleotides) under uncultured bacterium. RNAcentral describes it as "partial 16S ribosomal RNA". It matches the Rfam family "Bacterial small subunit ribosomal RNA", at positions 28 to 523 of the family's 1533-position model. The record is from RNAcentral.
GAUGAACGCUAGCUACAGGCUUAACACAUGCAAGUCGAGGGGUAACGAGAGGAAAGCUUGCUUUCCUUGUCGACGACCGGCGCACGGGUGAGUAACGCGUAUCCAACCUGCCCCCAACUAAGGAAUAACCUUGCGAAAGUAAGACUAAUACCUUAUAAUUUCCUCAGAUGUCAUCUGACGAGGAAUAAAGAUUUAUCGGUUGUGGAUGGGGAUGCGUCUGAUUAGCUUGUUGGCGGGGUAACGGCCCACCAAGGCAACGAUCAGUAGGGGUUCUGAGAGGAAGGUCCCCCACAUUGGAACUGGGACACGGUCCAAACUCCUACGGGAGGCAGCAGUGAGGAAUAUUGGUCAAUGGGCGAAAGCCUGAACCAGCCAAGUAGCGUGCAGGAUGACGGCCCUAUGGGUUGUAAACUGCUUUUAUACAGGAAUAAAGUUAGCCACGUGUGGUUAUUUGUAGGUACUGUAUGAAUAAGGACCGGCUGAUUCCGUGCCAGCAGCCGCGGUAA